Molecule: long non-coding RNA, 529 nt
Organism: Oncorhynchus tshawytscha (Chinook salmon)
Lineage: Eukaryota; Metazoa; Chordata; Actinopteri; Salmoniformes; Salmonidae
Source: Ensembl
GCGGCAGGGUAGCCUAGUGGUUAGAGUGUAGAGGCGGCAGGGUAGCCUAGUGGUUAGAGUGUAGAGGUGGCAGGGUAGCCUAGUGGUUAGAGUUUAGAGGUGGCAGGGUAGCCUAGUGGUUAGAGCGUAGAGGCGGCAGGGUAGCCUAGUGGUUAGAGUGUAGAGGCGGCAGGGUAGCCUAGUGGUUAGAGCGUGGAGGCGGCAGGGUAGCCUAGUGGUUAGAGCGUAGAGGCGGCAGGGUAGCCUAGUGGUUAGAGCGUAGAGGCGGCAGGGUAGCCUAGUGGUUAGAGUGUAGAGGUGGCAGGGUAGCCUAGUGGUUAGAGUGUAGAGGUGGCAGGGUAGCCUAGUGGUUAGAGUGUAGAGGCGGCAGGGUAGCCUAGUGGUUAGAGCGUUGGACUAGUAACCGGAAGGUUGCAAGUGCAACUCCCCGACAUGACAAGGUACAAAUCUGUCGUUCUGCCCCUGAACAGGCAGGUAACCCACUGUUCCUAGGGGGAAAACAAGAAUUUGUUCUUAACUGACUUGCCUA